This 599-nucleotide ribosomal RNA is filed under the name Salmonella enterica subsp. enterica serovar Weltevreden. RNAcentral's name for it is "partial 16S ribosomal RNA". It matches the Rfam family "Bacterial small subunit ribosomal RNA", at positions 1 to 589 of the family's 1533-position model. Lineage: Bacteria; Pseudomonadati; Pseudomonadota; Gammaproteobacteria; Enterobacterales; Enterobacteriaceae. RNAcentral also lists the same sequence under 3 other names. The record is from RNAcentral.
AAAUUGAAGAGUUUGAUCAUGGCUCAGAUUGAACGCUGGCGGCAGGCCUAACACAUGCAAGUCGAACGGUAACAGGAAGCAGCUUGCUGCUUCGCUGACGAGUGGCGGACGGGUGAGUAAUGUCUGGGAAACUGCCUGAUGGAGGGGGAUAACUACUGGAAACGGUGGCUAAUACCGCAUAACGUCGCAAGACCAAAGAGGGGGACCUUCGGGCCUCUUGCCAUCAGAUGUGCCCAGAUGGGAUUAGCUAGUUGGUGAGGUAACGGCUCACCAAGGCGACGAUCCCUAGCUGGUCUGAGAGGAUGACCAGCCACACUGGAACUGAGACACGGUCCAGACUCCUACGGGAGGCAGCAGUGGGGAAUAUUGCACAAUGGGCGCAAGCCUGAUGCAGCCAUGCCGCGUGUAUGAAGAAGGCCUUCGGGUUGUAAAGUACUUUCAGCGGGGAGGAAGGUGUUGUGGUUAAUAACCGCAGCAAUUGACGUUACCCGCAGAAGAAGCACCGGCUAACUCCGUGCCAGCAGCCGCGGUAAUACGGAGGGUGCAAGCGUUAAUCGGAAUUACUGGGCGUAAAGCGCACGCAGGCGGUCUGUCAAGUC